Long non-coding RNA from Pogoniulus pusillus (Red-fronted tinkerbird), 600 nucleotides. RefSeq lists it as uncharacterized. The record is from RefSeq and is a predicted model, not a curated record. The transcript has 5 exons. Lineage: Eukaryota; Metazoa; Chordata; Aves; Piciformes; Lybiidae.
CAACUGGGCAGAGGGAUCCUUCUCCUGUCAUCACUGUGGGAACAACUGGAAUACAAAGACACUAUGCUCUCCAAGUGAAAGGAAAUCUCACAGAAUGAUGGGAGAAAGGAUCACCUGGUUCUAGAGGGUGCCAGGGCAGUCUCCUAAAGGAAUGCUGCAUGGUGGUGAGGAGUUUAAUCUGCAGCUAAAGCCUCUUCUGCUUCUCUCUCCUUGUGACUGAAGCAUCAAAGAGCACUCUGCACCGGGGCGAAAGUAUCAGACAGAUUUGUUAUGGGUUCUGAUGUUCGUAAGCAGUGAUGGCAGACAGAGACUUGUACCUGAACAACCCACUGUGGAGUUCACUUCAUCCUACUUGUUGCCUUCCCAGUCUCAGCUGUUGUUUGUUCAAGUUCUGCUCUCCAGAGGCCAACCGUGUCCAGCCCACUGACACGGGGCAGCUUUGGAGAACGUGCACAGCCCUUCUGUGGCACAUCAGCCCCGCUGCACCUGCACAUUCUCGGUGUGAAGUGGGUUGCUGUGGGCAAACCCAAGGCCUGUGCUGGUGCUUCUGGUUGCUCACACACACCAGAGGCAGUAGAGCUUGACACAAGUGCCUGCCUG